Oryza sativa Japonica Group (Japanese rice) is the source of this 721-nucleotide non-coding RNA. The record is from RefSeq and is a predicted model, not a curated record. NCBI's taxonomy places the organism in Eukaryota, Viridiplantae, Streptophyta, Magnoliopsida, Poales, Poaceae.
CUCCAUCUUAUCAGGGUCUAUGUGAUCGUUCGCUUCAGCAUUGGUACGUUGGUUUUGGUCAGUACCUGGUGAUACAUCCUGCGCGUCUUCAUCGUACUGCAAUGUUCUCUGUAGUGCCAGUAGGAACAAAAGCAAUGGGAAAGAACAGUUGGUGCCUGCUUUUCAUGAGCAUGGGAAGACAGGAUUGAAAGAAAACUUACAUGAUCAGCAUCUGAGGAUUGAAGACCAACAGCAUUUUGACAUUGGGGCCGACUGUUUGAUGCAUGUGUACCAACCUUGGAACCACUCGCUGCUGGUUUGGACACAGAUAACUUUCCUAUGCUAGAAGCUCCUAAAUCUGGGCCAUCAUUACCAUGACAAACAGGACUACCAGAUUUGAAUGAACAUAUACUUUCCUCAGCAGGGCAGGGAGUGCAAACACUGUCUACUUCUUUGGUCUCAAUGGGAUGAGAGGUAUGCUGCAGAUGAACACUGAUUAUCAGUUUCCAGUGUUUUGUAACAAAAAAAUGUAUCGCACAAUUAGAAGAAAAAUAUUUUGUGCUCCAACAGCAACUACUGAAAGUAUGGUGUGCUCAUAAGUCAAGAGGCAUGUACCUGAGGUAGACAGACUAUCUGCUCGACCAGGCUCCCAUCCAUGUCACAUGACUCAUCAACAUUCUUCGGACUACUAUGUAUCUUAGAUGCUUUGGUCUUAGAUGACUUACUUUUAUGAACAAGUGAG